AGAAAUAAUGUAAUAUGCAUCGAUGUAAUUGAUGCCGAUGUACCGAUUCACCGAUGUAAGCGUGAUUUUCAGAUACAAAAUCACACAAGUUCGAUGCUAUUGUACAUCGGACUUAAUAUUACACAUAAUCAGAACCACCAAGCUCCUUUACACUAAAUCUGUGUAAUAUUCACAUCAAGUGAAUGUGAAUAUUACACACAAACAGCUGCAACCAAUUGGUUACGCUGACUGUGUUGAAAAUUACACAAAAAGAUGCCAUAUCACAAUCAUUUUCGUGCAAUAUUAAAUCUAGCAACACUUCCAGUCUUGUUUUGAUUGUUUGCUCAAAAUGGCAGCCGGUUGGUCGAAUCGAAGUUUUUCCGAAUCUUUGAUGCGUCCACUACUGCCCCGAUAAUUCAAUAAUGUGGGCUCGAAUGAGGCAUCUUUAACAUUGCAUCGCAUCGCUGGGUGCAUCUCGGUACAUCUGGCAUGGAGAGAACCUCAGACCUCAGUCCCGGCGCAGAUUCCGCCGGUUGUAGCACCGAAGCUACCUGCGGUAUCCCUUAAAUUCGAGUCACUUUGUCACUGACCAGUGGAUGAAAAACGGAUGAGUUGAAUAUGAGAGAUGUGGAGGUUUUGGAAUGUGCUGCAACCGAGAUCCCUGGAUAGCAACAUCAAUUCUAACCGGAUCAUUCAUCAAUGACUGCAAUUGUGUUAUUGAAACUGCAACAUCCGGACGGAUAUUCGAUUUUGCGUAUACUGCUCUUUGGUGGUAACAUUCUUGAGAGCAACCAUAUCGUAGCCGUUUCUUCAAGAAUAUCAACCCCAUCCCCAUGGACUCGAAAAAUAUGGAGAUUGAAUUUGAGAGAAGUGGACGGAUUUCUUCUAAGCUGAAAAAAGUGCUGGAUAUACACGAUUCAGCGGAGAACAGAUGUUGUCACCGAUGGCGAAACAGGAUGACAAUGCAUACGUCUUCGAGUAAAUGCUGCAUUUGCCGUCGGAAAACCGUUAUUAAGCUGAUUAGUUCGACGAUCUGUGUAUGGCCGAUGCGGUAAACACUCAUGCAAUCAGCACAAGCUUGCUUCCCGGUCGGUUCCAGAUACUUUCGUAAAUGAAAUAAUGUUGACCUCCUUGGGCGUAGAGUAUCUAUGUUCCAGUGGCAUAAAUAAAAAAAAAACGAAAUUCGAGGCUCAUUUGAUUCUUGAGUGCCUAUAGGCCGAAGGCUAAUGUGUAGGAUAUGUCCCAGUUGGGACGUUAAGUCAAGAAAAGAGAAAAUGAGUGAAUAAAUAAAUUAUGGUACUAACUAAGUUCAUCCAUCCAUUAAUCUUCUCUUCUAUGGCUGGUUAAAUUAUGUUUUUAUCCUUUUUCGUUCGGAAUUAAGUGUAUCUCUUGGGUUUUCUUCAGCAAUAUGAAACUGAGCGAAAAAGGAUGAAAAGAUAAUUUAAUCUGCCAUUGAAGAGCAUUUCAAAUCGAUUCCAUUUUACAUCGCUUCAAUUACAUCAUAUCGUCGUUUACGUCGAAUUUAUUACAUCGCGCGAAUUACAUCGAAUCUGUUAUUUACAUUAAAGCCAUCGAGUACAUCGGGCUGUGUAAUAUUCAUCAUUCGAUGUAACGACCUGGUUGCAGCGAUUUCGAUGUAAUAUUCAACAACUUUUUUUGC
This is a long non-coding RNA of Aedes albopictus (Asian tiger mosquito), 1639 nucleotides long. RefSeq lists it as uncharacterized. Lineage: Eukaryota; Metazoa; Arthropoda; Insecta; Diptera; Culicidae. The transcript has 3 exons. The record is from RefSeq and is a predicted model, not a curated record.